Molecule: ribosomal RNA, 696 nt
Filed under: uncultured bacterium
Lineage: Bacteria
Description: bacterial SSU rRNA
Rfam family: Bacterial small subunit ribosomal RNA
Source: RNAcentral
AACGCUAGCUACAGGCUUAACACAUGCAAGUCGAGGGGAAACGAUAGAGAAAGCUUGCUUUUUCUAGGCGUCGACCGGCGUACGGGUGAGUAACGCGUAUCCAACCUGCCCAUCACUUGGGGAUAACCUUGCGAAAGUAAGACUAAUACCCAAUGACGUCCAUAGAAGACAUCUGAAAUGGAUUAAAGAUUUAUCGGUUAUGGAUGGGGAUGCGUCUGAUUAGCUUGUUGGCGGGGUAACGGCCCACCAAGGCAACGAUCAGUAGGGGUUCUGAGAGGAAGGUCCCCCACAUUGGAACUGAGACACGGUCCAAACUCCUACGGGAGGCAGCAGUGAGGAAUAUUGGUCAAUGGGCGAGAGCCUGAACCAGCCAAGUAGCGUGCAGGAUGACGGCCCUAUGGGUUGUAAACUGCUUUUAUACAGGAAUAAAGUUAGCCACGUGUGGUUAUUUGUAGGUACUGUAUGAAUAAGGACCGGCUAAUUCCGUGCCAGCAGCCGCGGUAAUACGGAAGGUCCAGGCGUUAUCCGGAUUUAUUGGGUUUAAAGGGAGCGUAGGCCGUCUGUUAAGCGUGUUGUGAAAUGUAGAUGCUCAACAUCUGAAUUGCAGCGCGAACUGGCAGACUUGAGUGUGCGCAACGUAGGCGGAAUUCGUGGUGUAGCGGUGAAAUGCUUAGAUAUCACGAAGAACUCCGAUUG